This 201-nucleotide ribosomal RNA is filed under the name uncultured bacterium. RNAcentral describes it as "partial 16S ribosomal RNA". It matches the Rfam family "Bacterial small subunit ribosomal RNA", at positions 1300 to 1500 of the family's 1533-position model. The record is from RNAcentral.
GCAGGCUGCAACUCGCCUGCAUGAAGUUGGAAUUGCUAGUAAUCGCGAAUCAGAAUGUCGCGGUGAAUACGUUCCCGGGCCUUGUACACACCGCCCGUCACACCAUGAGAGUCGAUAACACCCGAAGCCUGUGAGCUAACCGCAAGGAGGCAGCAGUCGAAGGUGGGGUUNAUGAUUGGGGUNAAGUCGUAACAAGGUAAC